RNAcentral lists this ribosomal RNA (243 nucleotides) under uncultured bacterium. RNAcentral's name for it is "partial 16S ribosomal RNA". It matches the Rfam family "Bacterial small subunit ribosomal RNA", at positions 793 to 1027 of the family's 1533-position model. The record is from RNAcentral.
GUCCACGCCGUAAACGAUGCACACUAGGUCGGGGAGGUUUUCACGCCGUCCCGGCCGAAGGAAAACUAUUAAGUGUGCCGCCUGGGGAGUACGGUCGCAAGGCUAAAACUCAAAGGAAUUGACGGGGGCUCACACAAGCGGUGGAGCAUGUUGCUUAAUUCGAGGCAACGCGAAGAACCUUACCUGGGCUUGACAUGCACGGAUUAGCUCUUGGAAACAUGAGUGACGCCCUUUGGGUGGAAC